GGAUCUGUGAUGAGACCUCAUACUAUCUCAAAGAAAGUUGACAACAUAAAAAUCAUGCUUAAUAGGAUUACACUGAGACCC
Molecule: small nucleolar RNA, 81 nt
Organism: Oryctolagus cuniculus (rabbit)
Lineage: Eukaryota; Metazoa; Chordata; Mammalia; Lagomorpha; Leporidae
Gene: SNORD115
Rfam family: Small nucleolar RNA SNORD115
About the family: HBII-52 is a member of the C/D class of snoRNAs, which contain the C (UGAUGA) and D (CUGA) box motifs. HBII-52 is encoded in a tandemly repeated array with another C/D snoRNA, HBII-85, in the Prader-Willi syndrome (PWS) region of chromosome 15. HBII-52 is exclusively expressed in the brain but is absent in PWS patients.
Source: Ensembl